Molecule: ribosomal RNA, 407 nt
Filed under: uncultured bacterium
Lineage: Bacteria
Description: partial 16S ribosomal RNA
Rfam family: Bacterial small subunit ribosomal RNA
Source: RNAcentral
AGUGAACGCUGGCGGCGUGCCUAAUACAUGCAAGUCGAACGGAGUGGCGCACGGGUGAGUAAUAUAUAGCUAAUCUGCCCCUUGCUGGAGGACAACAGUUAGAAAUGACUGCUAAUACUCCAUAGCAAGGGAUGAGACUCAAUCGUAUCAGCUAGUCGGUGGGGUAACGGCCUACCGAGGCUAUGACGCGUAACUGGGCUGAGAGGAUGAUCAGGCACAUUGUAACUGAGACACGGUCCAAAAGCCUACGGGAUGCAGCAGGAGUGAAUAUUGAGCAAUGGGGGAAACCCUGACGCAGCAACGCCGCGUGGAGUAUGACACUGUUCGGAGCGUAAACUCCUUUUGUUAGGUAAGCGGUACCUAACGAAUAAGCACCGGCUAACUCCGUGCCAGCAGCCGCGGUAUUU